RNAcentral lists this ribosomal RNA (253 nucleotides) under uncultured bacterium. RNAcentral's name for it is "partial 16S ribosomal RNA". It matches the Rfam family "Bacterial small subunit ribosomal RNA", at positions 524 to 776 of the family's 1533-position model. The record is from RNAcentral.
UACGGAGGAUCCAAGCGUUAUCCGGAUUUAUUGGGUUUAAAGGGUGCGUAGGUGGGAUGAUAAGUCAGAGGUGAAAGCUAGCAGCUUAACUGCUAAAUUGCCUUUGAUACUGUUAUUCUUGAGUAUAGUUGGCGUUGGCGGAAUGUGACAUGUAGCGGUGAAAUGCGUAGAUAUGUCACAGAACACCGAUCGCGAAGGCAGCUAACGAAACUAUCACUGACACUGAUGCACGAAAGCGUGGGGAGCAAACAGG